UGCAGUCGAACGGUAACAGGAAUUAGCUUGCUAAUUUGCUGACGAGUGGCGCACGGGUGCGUAACGCGUAUACAAUCUACCUUUUGCUGAGGGAUAGCCCAGAGAAAUUUGGAUUAAUACCUCAUGGUAUUAUUGAUAGGCAUCUAUUAAUAAUUAAAGGUUACGGCAAAAGAUGAGUAUGCGUCCCAUUAGCUAGUUGGCGAGGUAACGGCUCACCAAGGCAACGAUGGGUAGGGGUCCUGAGAGGGAGAUCCCCCACACUGGUACUGAGACACGGACCAGACUCCUACGGGAGGCAGCAGUGAGGAAUAUUGGACAACGGGCGAGAGCCUGAUCCAGCCAUGCCGCGUGCAGGAAGACUGCCCUAUGGGUUGUAAACUGCUUUUAUACAGGAAGAAUAAGCCUUACGUGUAAGGUGAUGACGGUACUGUAAGAAUAAGGACCGGCUAACUCCGUGCCAGCAGCCGCGGUAAUACGGAGGGUCCGAGCGUUAUCCGGAAUUAUUGGGUUUAAAGGGUCCGUAGGCGGAUGAUUAAGUCAGGGGUGAAAGUUUGCAGCUCAACUGUAAAAUUGCCUUUGAUACUGGUCAUCUUGA
RNAcentral lists this ribosomal RNA (595 nucleotides) under uncultured bacterium. RNAcentral's name for it is "bacterial SSU rRNA". It matches the Rfam family "Bacterial small subunit ribosomal RNA", at positions 56 to 645 of the family's 1533-position model. The record is from RNAcentral.